RNAcentral lists this ribosomal RNA (1213 nucleotides) under Salmonella enterica subsp. enterica serovar Litchfield. Its description in RNAcentral is "partial 23S ribosomal RNA". It matches the Rfam family "Bacterial large subunit ribosomal RNA", at positions 423 to 1556 of the family's 2925-position model. The record is from RNAcentral. Lineage: Bacteria; Pseudomonadati; Pseudomonadota; Gammaproteobacteria; Enterobacterales; Enterobacteriaceae.
CACGUGGUAUCCUGUCUGAAUAUGGGGGGACCAUCCUCCAAGGCUAAAUACUCCUGACUGACCGAUAGUGAACCAGUACCGUGAGGGAAAGGCGAAAAGAACCCCGGCGAGGGGAGUGAAAAAGAACCUGAAACCGUGUACGUACAAGCAGUGGGAGCACAGGUUUACCUGUGUGACUGCGUACCUUUUGUAUAAUGGGUCAGCGACUUAUAUUCUGUAGCAAGGUUAACCGAAUAGGGGAGCCGGAGGGAAACCGAGUCUUAAUUGGGCGUUAAGUUGCAGGGUAUAGACCCGAAACCCGGUGAUCUAGCCAUGGGCAGGUUGAAGGUUGGGUAACACUAACUGGAGGACCGAACCGACUAAUGUUGAAAAAUUAGCGGAUGACCUGUGGCUGGGGGUGAAAGGCCAAUCAAACCGGGAGAUAGCUGGUUCUCCCCGAAAGCUAUUUAGGUAGCGCCUCGUGAAUUCAUCUCCGGGGGUAGAGCACUGUUUCGGCUAGGGGGCCAUCCCGGCUUACCAACCCGAUGCAAACUGCGAAUACCGGAGAAUGUUAUCACGGGAGACACACGGCGGGUGCUAACGUCCGUCGUGAAGAGGGAAACAACCCAGACCGCCAGCUAAGGUCCCAAAGUCAUGGUUAAGUGGGAAACGAUGUGGGAAGGCCCAGACAGCCAGGAUGUUGGCUUAGAAGCAGCCAUCAUUUAAAGAAAGCGUAAUAGCUCACUGGUCGAGUCGGCCUGCGCGGAAGAUGUAACGGGGCUAAACCAUGCACCGAAGCUGCGGCAGCGAACGUAUCACUUAAAGCGAUUCAGCGGGUUACGAUUGACGGAGCGAAGCGACGUCAAAGCGUAUACAAAGUCGAGUCGGUUUAAGGAUACGUUCGUUGGGUAGGGGAGCGUUCUGUAAGCCUGUGAAGGUGGCCUGUGAGGGUUGCUGGAGGUAUCAGAAGUGCGAAUGCUGACAUAAGUAACGAUAAAGCGGGUGAAAAGCCCGCUCGCCGGAAGACCAAGGGUUCCUGUCCAACGUUAAUCGGGGCAGGGUGAGUCGACCCCUAAGGCGAGGCCGAAAGGCGUAGUCGAUGGGAAACGGGUUAAUAUUCCCGUACUUGGUGUUACUGCGAAGGGGGGACGGAGAAGGCUAUGUUGGCCGGGCGACGGUUGUCCCGGUUUAAGCGUGUAGGUGUGUGUUCCAGGUAAAUCCGGUUCACUUUAAC